This 2404-nucleotide long non-coding RNA is filed under the name Salmo salar (Atlantic salmon). RNAcentral describes it as "lncRNA (ENSSSAG00000119895.1)". The record is from RNAcentral. Lineage: Eukaryota; Metazoa; Chordata; Actinopteri; Salmoniformes; Salmonidae.
GGGGAAUGAAUGGAAGACAGCUUUUAGCACAAUAUCUGGUCACUACGAGUGUUCCAGGCAUUCGUCAACGAGGUGUUUCGGGACAUGCUCUGACGCCAGGUGGUCGUGUAUAGCGACAUCCUGGUUUACUCGGCAACCUUGGAGGGUCACAUUGAGUGGAUGAUAAAUGAAGACCCCGAUGAGAGACCUACAGUGGAGUAAACCCUGACUCAUCCCUCCUUCUGGAAACCACAGAGAGUUGGGAAUGAGAGGUCGGGAAGUGUCAUGAUGCUGACCCAGAGCUUCUCGACGUGCUGUGGAGAGAACCUUCUGUCAGUGGAGAUCCAAGCUGCCCUCUGCUUUGAUGAAAAAGAUGGCUGGCAGAAAGCCCUUCCCUGAGAACAUGUUGGGGUUACUACGCUUCAUACGCAACCUCCAUGAGCACUAUGCUGAGGAUUUAGCAUCUGACCUGAUGGUCCCUGAUCUCUUUGGAUGCGUCUACAUGUUGGCCAAGAAACAGGGGUGUGUCAAAAAAAGACAGUUAUGUUGCUCUUUGAUAGCCUUUAUUAUAUUGAGAGGUGCAUUAACAUUUUAGGGUGGUUAAUAGAAAACUGUUGAUGAUCAAACCUAGGUAGGAAACGGUUAUUAACAUUUUAUUUUGCAGUGUUUGGUAAUUUAGUAUGCAAAUAAUGAUGACUCUCCUACAUAGUUUGUCAAAUGCAGUGUACCUGCUGAGAGAUGGAGGGGAUGAGAGGUGAGAACAUCAAUCUCAUCUUCAUGUAUGACAUUACAUGCAAGAUCUAACCACAUGUGCAAAUAUACAUUCCUGAAUUGAAGCAUGGGACCAAAUCUGUCAGUUUUCCAUGCUUACGGACACGACUUGCCAUGUCGGAUGAAAUUCAACACAAGAUGUGUUGAAGGUGCUGGACUGGGAAAUGGGAAGCAGAUGGAGAUGCUGUGGUCGUAUCUGAGGCACUUUGGGAAGGUCACUAGAUGACGCCGUCCCAUCGUAUUGACCUCCUGACUGAUGCCCUUCACCAUGGGAAAAGAUGUGCCAGAGGCAACUGGACGAAAGUUGCAACAGAAGCAGAAUGGAAAAUGGCAGAAAUUGCAGUCUCUAACAGGGCCCAGCAGGAAAGUGGAGAUGGAAUAGCUGUUGCUCAGCUUAUGCAGAUCGAAAACUGAAGACGAUGGAGAGGAAGAACGGCAUCCUCCAUCGAUGGUCCCCCACCAGCAGUCUCUUCCAGACUGCACUCCACAGACUGCAGAGUAACAGAUUGAAGACCAAUUUGGAAGGAACAUUCAGUCUGGUGCUAGAACGGAGGUUACUCUGUGGCCUGAAGAGAUAAUAUGCAGGAAAUAUAUAUUCAACAAUAGGAACAAGUCAACUCAUAUCAGUUCUAUGAUAUUUCUGGAUGGUCAAGGUAUUGCCAACCGCCUGUCCAAAAAGCUUGCCACGGUCGGUAGUAGCAUACUCUUUAAAAAAAAAACGUUUUUUAAGGACUACAACCUGAGACCAGGUUUUUCCUCACAGCUCUCACAAGUCCUGGUGUAUGAGGAUGCAGUGCAGGUGGACAGCACUGUUUGGUCCUGGAGAGCAGGAAGAGCAGAGGAUGAUGGGGAGUUUCACUUCAAGCAAAGGCUCUCUGUGCUCCAUUCCCUCAGAACGGGCGUGUGAAGAUAACUGGUACAUUGAGGAUGAAGCCAUCACUGCCAAGAAGUUCUACUCACAUGAGCAGGAACUGAUCGUGGAGGCCUUACAACAUUACACAGAGCAAGAUGGAUUUAGUCUUGGGGCAAGAGCUGUCCUUGCUGGAAUGCUUGCUGAGCAUCAGCAUGCAGAAGGACAAAGUGAAUUGUUCAGAAGUGCUUUUUUGAGGGCAGCGGUAUAAACAUUGAAGUGGAGGACAUUGAGGAAGUGGAUGAGGAUGAUGACUAUGAUGGGGAUUACGACAACGAUGGUGAUAUUGAUGGAGGAAAAAAUGUAUGAGGCUGAGUGUGUCUAAUUGUUGUUUGUUUCUUGUCCAUUCUGUUUUAAUGUAUGUAAUUCAGUGGUGUACAGUAUUUAAGUAAAAAAAGGGGGGUAAAAUGAAAAAAUAUUAAACAUACAACAAAAAUUGUAUGUUUUGUUAUUUUUGGGUUAAAGGAAGCACUCUGGCCAUUUCUGUUUAAUUGUUAGAUGUGAUAUAUAGGCCAUUCUUUCAUGUCAUUUACCAUUUAUGUCAUGGUGAGGGGAACCUGACGUGAACCUGCUAUACCCCAACCUGAGUCUAAUGCAAUAGACAGGUUUGCUUCCUCCAAAGUAUUGUAUUUUCAUUGACUUGUUAGUUGUGGAGUUUGUAAACAUCAAUUUAGAUAAUUUUGUAAAUAUUGUAAUUUGAACAUCUAAAUCACUGUUGUCAUUUUUAAAAUAAAUAACUUCUGC